This 429-nucleotide ribosomal RNA is filed under the name Bacteroidota bacterium. RNAcentral describes it as "Bacteroidetes bacterium partial 16S ribosomal RNA". It matches the Rfam family "Bacterial small subunit ribosomal RNA", at positions 355 to 776 of the family's 1533-position model. The record is from RNAcentral. Lineage: Bacteria; Pseudomonadati; Bacteroidota.
UAGGGAAUCUUCCGCAAUGGACGCAAGUCUGACGGAGCAACGCCGCGUGAGUGAAGAAGGAUUUCGGUUCGUAAAACUCUGUUGUUAGAGAAGAACAGCGCAUAGAGUAACUGUUAUGCGUGUGACGGUAUCUAACCAGAAAGCCACGGCUAACUACGUGCCAGCAGCCGCGGUAAUACGUAGGUGGCAAGCGUUGUCCGGAUUUAUUGGGCGUAAAGCGAGCGCAGGCGGUCAAUUAAGUCUGAUGUGAAAGCCCCCGGCUCAACCGGGGAGGGUCAUUGGAAACUGGUUGACUUGAGUGCAGAAGAGGAGAGUGGAAUUCCAUGUGUAGCGGUGAAAUGCGUAGAUAUAUGGAGGAACACCAGUGGCGAAGGCGACUCUCUGGUCUGUAACUGACGCUGGGGUUCGAAAGCGUGGGUAGCAAACAGG